GACGAACGCUGGCGGCGUGCUUAACACAUGCAAGUCGAACGGAAAGGCCCUGCUUUUGUGGGGUGCUCGAGUGGCGAACGGGUGAGUAACACGUGAGUAACCUGCCCUUGACUUUGGGAUAACUUCAGGAAACUGGGGCUAAUACCGGAUAGGAGCUCCUGCUGCAUGGUGGGGGUUGGAAAGUUUCGGCGGUUGGGGAUGGACUCGCGGCUUAUCAGCUUGUUGGUGGGGUAGUGGCUUACCAAGGCUUUGACGGGUAGCCGGCCUGAGAGGGUGACCGGCCACAUUGGGACUGAGAUACGGCCCAGAAUCCUAAGGGAGGGAGCAGUGGGGAAUAUUGCCCAAUGGGCGGAAGCCUGAUGCAGCAACGCCGCGUGCGGGAUGACGGCCUUCGGGUUGUAAACCGCUUUCGCCUGUGACGAAGCGUGAGUGACGGUAAUGGGUAAAGAAGCACCGGCUAACUACGUG
This 468-nucleotide ribosomal RNA is filed under the name uncultured bacterium. Its description in RNAcentral is "partial 16S ribosomal RNA". It matches the Rfam family "Bacterial small subunit ribosomal RNA", at positions 28 to 507 of the family's 1533-position model. The record is from RNAcentral.